Molecule: ribosomal RNA, 205 nt
Filed under: Clostridioides difficile
Lineage: Bacteria; Bacillati; Bacillota; Clostridia; Peptostreptococcales; Peptostreptococcaceae
Description: partial 23S ribosomal RNA
Rfam family: Bacterial large subunit ribosomal RNA
Source: RNAcentral
CAGUUGUCCUGCCAAGGGCAUGGCUGGGUAGCUAUGUGCGGAAUGGAUAAGCGCUGAAAGCAUCUAAGCGCGAAGCCAACUUCAAGAUAAGAUUUCCCACCGCAAGGGUAAGACCCCAGAAAGACUAGCUGGUUGAUAGGUCGAAGGUGUAAGUGCAGCAAUGUAUUUAGCUUAUCGAUACUAAUAGGUCGAGGACUUGACCAAU